AUACGGAGGGUGCAAGCGCUAUCCGGAUUCACUGGGUUUAAAGGGUGCGUAGGUGGGCAGGUAGUCAGUGGUGAAAUCUCCGGGCUCAACCCGGAAACUGCCAUUGAUACUAUCUGUCUUGAAUACCCUGGAGGUGAGCGGAAUAUGUCAUGUAGCGGUGAAAUGCUUAGAUAUGACAUAGAACACCCAUUGCGAAGGCAGCUCACUACGAGAAUAUUGACACUGAGGCACGAAAGCGUGGGGAUCAAACAG
RNAcentral lists this ribosomal RNA (252 nucleotides) under uncultured prokaryote. RNAcentral describes it as "partial 16S ribosomal RNA". It matches the Rfam family "Bacterial small subunit ribosomal RNA", at positions 523 to 775 of the family's 1533-position model. The record is from RNAcentral.